CAGUAGCCGCGGUAAUACGAAGGGUGCAAGCGUUACUCGGAAUUACUGGGCGUAAAGCGUGCGUAGGUGGUGGUUUAAGUCCGUUGUGAAAGCCCUGGGCUCAACCUGGGAAUUGCAGUGGAUACUGGAUCACUAGAGUGUGGUAGAGGAUAGUGGAAUUUCCGGUGUAGCAGUGAAAUGCGUAGAGAUCGGAAGGAACAUCUGUGGCGAAGGCGACUAUCUGGGCCAACACUGACACUGAGGCACGAAAGCGUGGGGAGCAAACAGGAUUAGAUACCCGAGUAGUCCCUGUCUCUUAUAC
This 301-nucleotide ribosomal RNA is filed under the name uncultured bacterium. RNAcentral describes it as "partial 16S ribosomal RNA". It matches the Rfam family "Bacterial small subunit ribosomal RNA", at positions 509 to 807 of the family's 1533-position model. The record is from RNAcentral.